Molecule: ribosomal RNA, 301 nt
Filed under: uncultured bacterium
Lineage: Bacteria
Description: partial 16S ribosomal RNA
Rfam family: Bacterial small subunit ribosomal RNA
Source: RNAcentral
CAGUCGCCGCGGGAAUACGCAGGUGGCAAGCGUUGUCCGGAAUUAUUGGGCGUAAAGCGCGCGCAGGUGGUUUAAUAAGUCUGAUGUGAAAGCCCACGGCUCAACCGUGGAGGGUCAUUGGAAACUGUUAAACUUGAGUGCAGGAGAGAAAAGUGGAAUUCCUAGUGUAGCGGUGAAAUGCGUAGAGAUUAGGAGGAACACCAGUGGCGAAGGCGGCUUUUUGGCCUGUAACUGACACUGAGGCGCGAAAGCGUGGGGAGCAAACAGGAUUAGAUACCCCAGUAGUCCCUGUCUCUUAUAC